AUUGAACGCUGGCGGCAGGCCUAGCACAUGCAAGUCGAGCGGAUGAAGGGAGCUUGCUCCUGGAUUCAGCGGCGGACGGGUGAGUAAUGCCUAGGAAUCUGCCUGGUAGUGGGGGAUAACGUCCGGAAACGGGCGCUAAUACCGCAUACGUCCUGAGGGAGAAAGUGGGGGAUCUUCGGACCUCACGCUAUCAGAUGAGCCUAGGUCGGAUUAGCUAGUUGGUGGGGUAAAGGCCUACCAAGGCGACGAUCCGUAACUGGUCUGAGAGGAUGAUCAGUCACACUGGAACUGAGACACGGUCCAGACUCCUACGGGAGGCAGCAGUGGGGAAUAUUGGACAAUGGGCGAAAGCCUGAUCCAGCCAUGCCGCGUGUGUGAAGAAGGUCUUCGGAUUGUAAAGCACUUUAAGUUGGGAGGAAGGGCAGUAAGUUAAUACCUUGCUGUUUUGACGUUACCAACAGAAUAAGCACCGGCUAACUUCGU
This 483-nucleotide ribosomal RNA is filed under the name uncultured bacterium. Its description in RNAcentral is "partial 16S ribosomal RNA". It matches the Rfam family "Bacterial small subunit ribosomal RNA", at positions 30 to 506 of the family's 1533-position model. The record is from RNAcentral.